Musa acuminata AAA Group (dessert banana) is the source of this 3974-nucleotide RNA transcript. It is a transcript of the gene named RNA-binding protein 208-like, with no coding region annotated. Lineage: Eukaryota; Viridiplantae; Streptophyta; Magnoliopsida; Zingiberales; Musaceae. The record is from RefSeq and is a predicted model, not a curated record. The transcript has 14 exons.
AUUUCCCUCCCAUUCAUGGUUUUUUUUAGCGUACCAACGAUCUGCCAUCGGGUAUUCACGACUCGGUUCGUCUCUUUUUCUCGCUCUUCGCGGCGUGGAAAGAGAGUCACGAAAGAAGCCAAGAAAGAACGCCGAAGAGAGAGAAGCGAAAGAGAUUGGUUUCGUUGCCCUCUCGCCCCUUUGAUCCCCUCCGAUCCGGCGAUCGUCGAUCGCUCCCUCGGUGUUCUUCUUGCUUCCUCAUCCGCCUUUGAUCCUCUCCGAUCCGCCAUCUUUGGUGUUUUUUUCCCCCUUUUCCGGGUCCGAUCUGGUUGGAUCGCUCGCUGAAGAAGAUGAAUCAGAGGUUGAAGCUCCAGCAGCAGCAGCAGGCGCUGAUGCAGCAGGCGAUGCUCCAGCAGCAGCAGCUCUACCACUCCGGGGUCUUAGCCGCUGCCAUGUCUCAGAUGGAGCCUGUUCCAAGUGGAAAUCUUCCCCCUGGUUUUGAUCCAUCUACAUGCUGCAGUGUGUAUGUGGGAAAUAUCCAUCCAAAUGUAACAGAGAGCCUACUGGCUGAAGUUUUUCAAAGUUUUGGUCCACUUGAAGGAUGCAAACUCAUCAGAAAAGAAAAGUCUUCGUUUGGAUUUGUUGAUUACCAUGAUCGGAGGUCAGCAGCUCUUGCUAUCAUGUCACUGCAUGGGCGACAGCUAUAUGGUCAAGCAAUUAAGGUGAAUUGGGCAUACGCUAGUGGUCAAAGGGAAGACACAUCUGGACAUUUCCAUAUUUUUGUUGGAGAUCUAAGUUCGGAGGUCACUGAUGCAACACUUUUUGCUUGUUUCUCAGCAUACAGCAGUUGUUCGGAUGCACGGGUAAUGUGGGAUAACAAAACGGGGCGCUCCAGAGGAUUUGGCUUUGUCUCUUUCCGCGAUCAGCAGGAUGCACAGAAUGCCAUCAAUGAUAUGACUGGUAAAUGGCUUGGAAGUAGACAAAUACGGUGCAACUGGGCAACCAAGACUACUGGCGAAGACAAACAGCAGAGUGACAAUCAGAAUGCUGUUGUAUUGACAGAGGGAAGUAGCAAUCCAGCAGAUGGAGGCCAGGAGAAUUCAAAUGAAAUGGCCCCUGAAAAUAAUCCUGCAUACACAACUGUGUAUGUUGGUAACCUGGCCCAUGAGGUAUCACAAGUUGAGCUUCACCGCCAAUUUCAUAUUUUAGGUGCUGGUGUAAUUGAGGAAGUGCGGAUACAGAGGGAUAAAGGAUUUGGAUUUGUCAGAUAUCGUACACAUGAAGAAGCUGCUUUGGCCAUCCAAAUGGCAAAUGGAAGGAUAAUAUGUGGGAAAUCAAUGAAAUGUUCUUGGGGAACUAAGCCAACUCCCCCAGGGACGGCUUCCAACCCACUACCUCCUCCUCUGCCACCGUUUCAGCUUCUACCAACACCAGGUCUCCAAGGUUUUACGGCUGCUGAGCUCUUGGCUUAUCAGCGUCAGCUUGCUUUGAGUCAGGUUGCUGCUGGACCAAUGGCUGGUCAACAUGGCCUUGCUGCACAGCCUUCUGCAGGGCUCAUGUCAGGUGGUGGGUCACAGGCAAUGUUUGCAACCAAUUGGGCUGGGACAUGAUCACUAAUGGAGGUGGGAGUAGGAACAGCUGCUGCAAGCUCAAGUUGGAGAACCUCAUCAUAUAUUAGCAUUGCAGAUUCACAGACGUGUUAUCAGCAGGUAUCAGUCUUUUUAUACUUCAACUUGUACUAAAUUAUAGAUGUUCCGAUCUUUUUUUUAACUAUUUUUAAUUUCACUAUUAAAUUCAGUGUCUUCUAUAUCACAUGGAAUUUUACUUAAUGCAGGUUCGCCUCACUCGUUGCUUAGUUUAAUUGGGAAAAAGGCUUAUAUAAUAGCUUAGAAUCAAGGCUCAGUAUAUAAGAAGACUAAACAAUUUUGGUGGUCUUAAAAGCUGUCUUUGCUUCAUAUGAACUCUCUUAGUUGUAUUAGAAGGAACAGUAUGAGCGACAAAUAUUAAUACUUGGAAAAUGAGUAAAGCAAUUAUCAAAAAAUGUCAAAGGUGGUUUGUAUGGACUUUACGAGGGUCCAUUGUAAUAUCUUUCUUGGUGUUUUGCCAUCUUCUCGAAAAGCUUUGCAGAAUCAAUUUCUCAGUGUUUUGGCUGCUGAUGAAAUUGCAGCUCUUAUGUAAGCCUGUUUUCCUAUGAAAACCAGAAGGAGCCUACAAAUUUAUUGCACUGGCAAUGAUAAUUAGGAUGUGGAAAUAUCAAGAAUGUCUAUCUUGACAAAACUGGUGCACAUCCAAGUUAAGGAUUUUGUAGAGCAAAAGAAAGUGCAUGACUUUGAGGCUAAGGGAAUAACUAGAUGCAAAAAUAGAAAAUACGAAUUAGAUAUGACUUUAAUAGUUUCAUCUGGUCAGGUAUGUGAUUAAUAGAAAAUAAAAAUUAGAGUCCUGAAGGACGGAGUUGACAUAUUCAAGGCUGCUAACAAUUUCUCUGGAGAAACAGCACAUGAUCAUUUUAUGGAAUCAUUGAAGAUAUGCAUUAAUGAUCUCCUAGAAGAUAAUAAUUGCUUGUUAACCAGAACAUCUAUGAUGAGGUGAAUUAACUCAGUGCUUGAGGGUGGAAAUUCACCAAUCACCAUGGGCUUCACAUACUCAUGUAGCAAGUAAAUGACGAGCACACAGCUCAGGUAUUUAUCAUUCUGUAUUUUUGCCAUCGCAAUAUGGUUCAAAUGAAAUGGUGAAUUCAUUCUUUUUAUAGCAGUCAAAUUGCUAGUGUUAGUACUGACAAUUCUUUUGCCAAAUUUGCAAGUCAAAAUCAUGUGGGACAUGUCUAGCAAAACACAUAGGAAUACUGACGUGUCUUGUAUGUAGUAAGGAAAUUUAUACUAUGAACAACUAAACUGAUCUUUGUCGGAUGUGCAUAACAGAGAGUUCCUGACUGGAGUGGGAUAGUCUAGUUUGUGUACCUUGCAUCUGGUUAAAGAUAGCAUAACAUUUUCGUGUCUUUAACUAGGAUAAUUGUAGUUGCCCAACACAAUAAGUAGUCAUUUCAAGAAUCUUGGAAUUUUACAAACAUUACUAUCCGAGUGAAAAUGAAUAUCUUGCUCAAAAGAACUCUUUACAUUUAAUAUUAAGGUAGACAUUAAUGUUUGCAGAAAUAUGUUGUCACUAGAGCUGUUGAUUUGCUCAGACAGUAGCAGCUGUUGACUGACUGGUGAAGGCUUGGCAUAAAAAAAAAUAUUCAGCAGAGGUGUCUAUGAACUAAAUGUUUCCCUGUAAAACCUGGUAAAACUUGUAAAAUAUGGUACUAGAAAAUAAAAAAGAAAAAAUUUCCAGUAUAUGCUUCUACAAACUAAUUGGCUGUUGCCACAAGUUUUUCUUGAAACUUCUGCCUGCCUCAUUUAGGAGGUUGUACUGCAUCAAGCAAAUUCUGCUUGAAGCACUCGUCUUAUGUGUUGCUUGUAGCUACUGCAUUGAAGAACUUACUGAUUCUACUAAUGGAAACUAACUUUGGCUACAUAAGACCAGCUUAGGCAGCUUGGUCACAAACUUACCUGCACAAACCAAAAAGAAAAGUUGAUACACUUAUCAAAGUAGCAGUUUGCUAAUCAUUGUGGUGGGAACUACAGAUAAGUCAUGUUAUCACCCAUCUUCUCAUGCAACAUUUGAUCAUCGUCCUGUUGCGGACGAUUCACUUGAACUUUCAUAACCAGAUUGUGUCAUUAGUGAAUCGCUGACAAUAUCCUGACAAAAAAGUAUUGAGAUGAUUAGUGCAGGCUUCCUCAUUCUGUUGCUUUGAAAGAUUUUCUCAUCCAAGUUAAUUUAUUUAUAUAUUAUCAUGAAAAGUUCACUUAUAGGGCCGUUUAUCUCAUGUUUUUUUGGCUAGAAUAAUCAGUGUGCCACUCAAAAAGCAAGCUAUAAGAAAAUGAUACUCCAGUUAUGGAGGGAAAAACUACACCCACAGAACAAACAUAAAAGCCUCAACCUUUUUUUCAAGAGCAAAA